This 345-nucleotide ribosomal RNA is filed under the name uncultured bacterium. RNAcentral's name for it is "bacterial SSU rRNA". It matches the Rfam family "Bacterial small subunit ribosomal RNA", at positions 28 to 374 of the family's 1533-position model. The record is from RNAcentral.
GACAAACGCUGGCGGCGUGCUUAACACAUGCAAGUCGAACGGUCUUCCUUCGGGAAGAUAGUGGCGGACGGGUGAGUAACACGUAGAUAACCUGCCCCUAUGUGGGGAGUAACCCCUCGAAAGAGGAGCUAAUACCGCAUGAGUUCUCUGUUGUUAGAUAGAGAAGAAACCUCGGUUUAUACCUGGGGCAUGAGGAGGGGUCUGCGGCGGAUUAGCUAGUUGGUGGAGGUAACGGCUCCCCAAGGCAACGAUCCGUAGCUGGUCUGAGAGGACGGCCAGCCACACUGGGACUGAGACACGGGCCCAGACUCCUACGGGAGCAGCAGUGAGGAUAUUCCACAAUGG